AAUUACUACCGUUUUCCGAUCCCUCUUGCUGAAAUGUGCAUUUACAGCUUCGUUGAGAUUGCCAUGGUGUUACUGCACCUAAACCAAAAAUAUAAAACUAUCAAGUCAAAAAACAAAAUAACGAUAAAUAUUAAGCUCAAAAAGGAAAUUACUAUGAAUAAUAACAACAAUAAUAUGGAAGAACACCAUUGUAGGCAAUCAAACUGUGAAAUUUGUUUACUUGAUGCAAUCAAUAAAUAAGAACUAUGUGUACCAACGAAAAGCCUUUAAUGAGUCGUCUACAAAUUUCACUUUGUUGAAGUGGGGAAAAAACCCAAAAAAUGUCAUAUUACAAAAGUGUAUAUACAUAUUGUAAUUGCAAACAACCAUCCAGAAAUUCAUAACCAACUCAUUGAACUUAGUUUUAUUCACACAAUAAGCAAAAUAUUAGUUCAAUCUAGGACUAAACCCCAUAACUGCAUACAGUUGUUGAUAAACUAUUAAAAUCCAAUGUCAAUCAUGUCAUCCCAGCAAAACACAUAAAAUUCGUACAACUAAAAAAUUAAGAAACCAUGAAAACGAAUAUAAUAAUGGUAAAUAUAUGAAAAAAGGUUUCAAAAUUCCUCCCACGCUAAAAUCCUUUAGUCUGCACAAUUUCAGUUAAUAAAGCAGUUAUAGAUUGAAACUGAAUUUCAUAGAAAGACAAUAUCAAAUCUAAAUAUUGAUGUUGCAGGACGCAACAACAGAGCGUAUAAUAUGAUGCAAUCAUUUCUUGUGUAUUUUCUAAGAAUACAUAUUGAUAGAUAAUAGUGAACUUCCAAAGAUGCCACACAAUUAGUUUGAGGGUGAAAAAAAAUCAUGAUUGCUGCGUGGGGUUUGACAAAAACACUUCAGGGUCUGCAUUCUCAGUCUUAUGUACAGAAUUACAUACAUCGAGAAUUAAACACGCCGAACAACAUUUAUGCAAAGCAGACAAUGAAGACAAAAUAUUACUAUUUUCACCUUGUAAAAAUUACAUGUUGAAAACAAUUUGGUCGUUCAAAACAUACUGUAAAAAAAAAUUGAAACUAAUCAAGAUAAUCAAAACUGAAAAAACAAAACGAAAAGCUAUAUACAGAAAACCGGCUAUCCACAUAAAAAAUUGCAAAAUUGAGAGAAUCUCGUUAAAGGUUAUUUAUGAUACUCUCACCUAUACGGUAGAAAAUUUUAAAGUGUCAAUAAACUGAACUACUGAAAACAAAAGGAGGGAAAAAAUUCAUAAUACGCAAGAAAAUUUAUUAAAAAAAAUUACCAGCGAAAAAAUUUAUAAAAAAGACAGUAUACACAUACCUCAUUUUUCAACAUACUUCAUUGUUUAGCUCCCUGACAUCAAGUUAUGGAGGCAGCGACCCUUUUGAACCGAAUCAUCUUUGAAUUCAUAAAAACAAAAAAAAAACAUCUCAUUAAAAUAGCCUUAUAUCCAUAAAAAAUUCCACCAAAGACACACACACGAAGCAUCAUAAAUGGAUUCAAAGAAAAGGAAUUACCAAAAAAAAUUUAACUCCUCAAUAGUGGACAGAAAAAGAAUACAUCGAACAUGGAAUUGAAGAAUUUUGUUUUUGCAAAAUUCAACUUUCAUCAUAUGAAAAAAGAAAAAAAAAAUUAUAAUCAAAUAAUGCUUAAAAUAACCAUAGACAACAUCCUAAAUAAUUAAUGUAGAAUUGAAAUUACACUAAUAAAAUUAUGCACAUCCCAGAAAAACCGAUCAAUCACCACCAACUUCAUAUUCUCUGGAUUAACUCGAGCAAGCUGAUUUUUUUCUUCUCUUGUAAAAUCAUAUUUCCGGAAAACCACAAUUGAAAAAUUGUGUCCGUAUGAAGUGGAGAGAAAG
This 1849-nucleotide long non-coding RNA is filed under the name Erythranthe guttata (spotted monkey flower). RNAcentral's name for it is "long non-coding RNA (EGUT_LNC000138)". The record is from RNAcentral. Lineage: Eukaryota; Viridiplantae; Streptophyta; Magnoliopsida; Lamiales; Phrymaceae.